Molecule: long non-coding RNA, 400 nt
Organism: Cyclopterus lumpus (lumpfish)
Lineage: Eukaryota; Metazoa; Chordata; Actinopteri; Perciformes; Cyclopteridae
Exons: 2
Source: RefSeq, a predicted model, not a curated record
CAGGCGGAACAGCGCAGCGUCCCGUUUCCCGUCUCCGGGGUCGUUAGCUUGGUCGAACUGGCGAGUGAGACAACCGACAGCAGAGGCCGCUACGUGUUUUCAUCUGCACCCUAAAGGCACGACCCACGUUCCAGUCAAUGGGAGGAUUGUCAUUUUUGCUGUAAUGCCUGAUUUUGGUGUGAAAGCGGCCCAAGAGAGCUAUUCGCCUGGGGCUAAGCAAGCAACCCCAUUGCCACAAUCCUGGCACAUUCAAAAGCGGACGAAACCCGACUUCAGCCUCGGGCUCCAGCGUGGGGUUGGCCUUGAAUUUGCGGGGUUAUCCCCUUGAAAAUAGACCAAACUCUUGGCUAGAAGUCGUCCGUGUGAAACAAGGCAAAAGUAAACAAUGGAAUUUGCAUCA